Molecule: ribosomal RNA, 479 nt
Filed under: uncultured bacterium
Lineage: Bacteria
Description: partial 16S ribosomal RNA
Rfam family: Bacterial small subunit ribosomal RNA
Source: RNAcentral
GAUGAACGCUGGCGGCGUGCUUAACACAUGCAAGUCGAACGAAGCACUUUAACCUGAUUCUUCGGAUGAAGGUUUUUGUGACUGAGUGGCGGACGGGUGAGUAACGCGUGGGUAACCUGCCUCAUACAGGGGGAUAACAGUUAGAAAUGACUGCUAAUACCGCAUAAGACCACAGAGCCGCAUGGCUCGGUGGGAAAAACUCCGGUGGUAUGAGAUGGACCCGCGUCUGAUUAGGUAGUUGUUGGGGUAACGGCCUACCAAGCCAACGAUCAGUAGCCGACCUGAGAGGGUGACCGGCCACAUUGGGACUGAGACACGGCCCAAACUCCUACGGGAGGCAGCAGUGGGGAAUAUUGCACAAUGGGGGAAACCCUGAUGCAGCGACGCCGCGUGAGCGAAGAAGUAUUUCGGUAUGUAAAGCUCUAUCAGCAGGGAAGAAAAUGACGGUACCUGACUAAGAAGCACCGGCUAAAUACGUG